AAACCAUUUUUGUUUCUGUUGGGCAAAGUGUUUCCUAUUGCACUUCCUAACUGCGAGGGUACUGCCCAAGAUGGUAGAAUGCAAGAUAUAAACAGUAAAUUUCUCCGCUAUUAUAUACUGAUACCAAGACACUGGGAUCUGGAAACACAUUUAUGUUAUUUUGGUUUAUGGCAAUUAAUUGUCCAUGCUAGAGUAUGCUAGUGCAUAUAAGCAUACAAAAAGGAGACUAGGCUGCAUAAAAAUAUCCCCCACUCCGGUCUAUAUGAUUUCUACUACUGAUCUAGUUAUUCUUCCAAGCCCUGCGUACACCUUUAAAAAAAUAUUGAUGAGUAAUAACAAACAGCAAUGCUAUCUUUCUUGUGCUCAUUGUAGAUUCUUUCUAAUUGUCAUAUGCCCCCAUGGUGCCAAAAUCUCCGUUUCUGUGAAAGCGCUAAAUAUUCUCACCAGGAGGUAACUCCGCAAAUUUUGGUGGAGUUCCAAGUACACGUUCCAUGUCAAAACGAACUUCAAUAUUGCGAAUACCAUAUCCUACCACCAUCAGCCAGUAGAGCAAUUUGGCAAGUUCUGGUGCACUUGUCUCCGUUACACUAGUCUGCAAAAAAUAAAGGGCCAGACAUUGUCCAUCAGUUUCCCGCAGUUUCAACUACAGAUUGAUAAUCAUAAUAUAAAAAAUUCAUAACAUGAAGUCAGGCAAAAGCCUAACNGAAUGAUUCUCUAAUAGUAGUUAAUACUCAACUUGAACAAUUAACUGCUAUCGAUGAGAAUAUCAUAGUAAAAGGCAAGGAAAAGAGUGAGAGGCUGGGUUUUCUUAAAUUUGUCCUCGCGGGGUUUGGUUUUUCUCCUUUUAGUAGAAGAGCAUAAUUGAAUCCGGAUCCUUCCAAGGCCAAGCAAAAGGAGGGCCUCAAAAAGCCUAUCAUAAGGUUUGCGCAGUACUGUAGGAAAAGUUUAAAAGGUUCACACACGACCGUAAGAAAGGUUUUAACAUGAUCAUAGAUAUUGAAAAAACCAUUUUUGUUUCUGUUGGGCAAAGUGUUUCCUAUUGCACUUCCUAACUGCGAGGGUACUGCCCAAGAUGGUAGAAUGCAAGAUAUAAACAGUAAAUUUCUCCGCUAUUAUAUACUGAUACCAAGACACUGGGAUCUGGAAACACAUUUAUGUUAUUUUGGUUUAUGGCAAUUAAUUGUCCAUGCUAGAGUAUGCUAGUGCAUAUAAGCAUACAAAAAGGAGACUAGGCUGCAUAAAAAUAUCCCCCACUCCGGUCUAUAUGAUUUCUACUACUGAUCUAGUUAUUCUUCCAAGCCCUGCGUACACCUUUAAAAAAAUAUUGAUGAGUAAUAACAAACAGCAAUGCUAUCUUUCUUGUGCUCAUUGUAGAUUCUUUCUAAUUGUCAUAUGCCCCCAUGGUGCCAAAAUCUCCGUUUCUGUGAAAGCGCUAAAUAUUCUCACCAGGAGGUAACUCCGCAAAUUUUGGUGGAGUUCCAAGUACACGUUCCAUGUCAAAACGAACUUCAAUAUUGCGAAUACCAUAUCCUACCACCAUCAGCCAGUAGAGCAAUUUGGCAAGUUCUGGUGCACUUGUCUCCGUUACACUAGUCUGCAAAAAAUAAAGGGCCAGACAUUGUCCAUCAGUUUCCCGCAGUUUCAACUACAGAUUGAUAAUCAUAAUAUAAAAAAUUCAUAACAUGAAGUCAGGCAAAAGCCUAACACUCCUCAAGUUCAACAAAAAAGGUUACAUAUAAAUGUCCAACAACCAUAAACAAACUAAUAAGUUUCAAACAGAAACCAUAUAAUAUAAAUUCUCUGUCUGCAAUCUUUAUUUCACGAUGGAUAUGCCAAGAAGAGAGACUCCACUAGUAAAUGCUAGAGGUUAGGGUCACAGAUUAUCACACAAAUCAUCAACUACAGUCUACAUGUAACUUUCAAGGAAAUAAACACAAUCAGG
This 1942-nucleotide long non-coding RNA is filed under the name Daucus carota (carrot). RNAcentral describes it as "long non-coding RNA (DCAR_LNC004024)". The record is from RNAcentral. Lineage: Eukaryota; Viridiplantae; Streptophyta; Magnoliopsida; Apiales; Apiaceae.